This 668-nucleotide long non-coding RNA is filed under the name Manihot esculenta (cassava). RNAcentral describes it as "long non-coding RNA (MESC_LNC000330)". Lineage: Eukaryota; Viridiplantae; Streptophyta; Magnoliopsida; Malpighiales; Euphorbiaceae. The record is from RNAcentral.
GACCACUACCCUGAAACGUGACUGGAGCUGAUGGUUGUGCCAUACUGCCUGGAGUUGUCUGAUGGGACGGUGUCAUAAAAGCUGCCUUAGGGCACUCUCGAGCUAUGUGCCCCUCCUGGCCGCAUCUGUAACAUGCUGUAGUCCCAAACCGACAGACUCCCUUGUGCGGCCUACCGCACCUCGUACACUCUGCAACCUCUGUGCCUGAGCUCGAGCCACCUCCUAAUCCCAGACCAGACUUUAUCCGAUUCUAGAACUUGUUCUUCUUUGAUCUUCUGAGACCUCUGUCUCCCUUCUUACUUUUUGUGAUAGCCUCGCUCAGAGGGGAGAGAUCAACAUCACUUGUCCCCGGGAUUUGGAAACCCGAAGACUGUGCCGCAGACUGUUUAACUGUCCCUUGGAUAAUGGCACUAGCCUCCAUUCUCCGUGCCAUAUCCACUAUAGCAUGGAAGCUCUCCCUUUCUGCUGAUUGAACCAUCGAGGAAUACCUGGAGUGAAGCUUCAUAACAUAUCUCCUAGACUUCUUCAGGUCUGUGUCAAGACUUUGUCCUGCAAACGGCAACAGCUCCAGGAACCUGUCCGUAAACUCCUCUACGCUCAUCUCUUCCGUCUGCCUUAGCUACUCAAACUCAAUCAUCUUCAGUUCUCUGGAACUAUCUGGAAAAGCC